GCUUAACGCGAAGAACCUUACCAAGGCUUGACAUACACCGGAAACAUCCAGAGAUGGGUGCCCCCUUGUGGUCGGUGUACAGGUGGUGCAUGGCUGUCGUCAGCUCGUGUCGUGAGAUGUUGGGUUAAGUCCCGCAACGAGCGCAACCCUUGUCCCGUGUUGCCAGCAGGCCCUUGUGGUGCUGGGGACUCACGGGAGACCGCCGGGGUCAACUCGGAGGAAGGUGGGGACGACGUCAAGUCAUCAUGCCCCUUAUGUCUUGGGCUGCACACGUGCUACAAUGGCCGGUACAAAGAGCUGCGAUGCCGUGAGGCGGAGCGAAUCUCAAAAAGCCGGUCUCAGUUCGGAUUGAGGUCUGCAACUCGACCUCAUGAAGUCGGAGUCGCUAGUAAUCGCAGAUCAGCAACGCUGCGGUGAAACACGUUCCCGGGUCUU
RNAcentral lists this ribosomal RNA (435 nucleotides) under uncultured bacterium. RNAcentral's name for it is "bacterial SSU rRNA". It matches the Rfam family "Bacterial small subunit ribosomal RNA", at positions 954 to 1382 of the family's 1533-position model. The record is from RNAcentral.